GAUGAACGCUGGCGGCGUGCCUAAUACAUGCAAGUCGAGCGAACGGACGAGAAGCUUGCUUCUCUGAUGUUAGCGGCGGACGGGUGAGUAACACGUGGAUAACCUACCUAUAAGACUGGGAUAACUUCGGGAAACCGGAGCUAAUACCGGAUGAUAUUUUGAACCGCAUGGUUCAAAAGUGAAAGACGGUCUUGCUGUCACUUAUAGAUGGAUCCGCGCUGCAUUAGCUAGUUGGUAAGGUAACGGCUUACCAAGGCAACGAUGCAUAGCCGACCUGAGAGGGUGAUCGGCCACACUGGAACUGAGACACGGUCCAGACUACUACGGGAGGCAGCAGUAGGGAAUCUUCCGCAAUGGGCGAAAGCCUGACGGAGCAACGCCGCGUGAGUGAUGAAGGUCUUCGGAUCGUAAAACUCUGUUAUUAGGGAAGAACAUAUGUGUAAGUAACUGUGAACAUCUUGACGGUACCUAAUCAGAAAGCCACGGCUAACUACGUG
Molecule: ribosomal RNA, 497 nt
Filed under: uncultured bacterium
Lineage: Bacteria
Description: partial 16S ribosomal RNA
Rfam family: Bacterial small subunit ribosomal RNA
Source: RNAcentral